RNAcentral lists this ribosomal RNA (402 nucleotides) under Triticum aestivum (bread wheat). Its description in RNAcentral is "partial small subunit ribosomal RNA". The record is from RNAcentral. Lineage: Eukaryota; Viridiplantae; Streptophyta; Magnoliopsida; Poales; Poaceae.
AUGCAGGCUCUGAUGGAUGUUCGGUGCAAGAAUCUAGUGAACCCUGUAUGUGACUGGUUCGGUGAGAUUUAUGAGCCCGCCUCCAGGGAAUUUGUGAUUCCGGGACGUGGAAGACUACCGUUAGACGAGGAAUCCGUGUUCUGCACGUUGGAUGUGCCCCGCGGAGAGAUCAAAGUCCCGUAUGAGGUCAAUAAUACGAUUGAGGAAACAAUGUUUGCCCGUUUGUUUGCUGGGAUGACAUCCAUGCAGAACACGACCGUGCUGGCAAAUUCGCUAGAGGGCAUGAAAACCCAUGGAGAAGUUUUUAAGAUGAAGCUACUCAUGUACCUGAUCUCAGCUGUUUUUGCGCCGACCACAUCUCUUCGCCAAGCAACAAAUGCUUCCCCAUCCUGGCAAAACUGA